AUAUGUCUUCGGAUAUAGAGGCCGGCGCACGGGUGCGUAACGCGUAUGCAAUCUACCUUUUACAGAGGGAUAGCCCAGAGAAAUUUGGAUUAAUACCUCAUAGUAUAGCUCUACCGCAUGGUAGUACUAUUAAAGUCACAACGGUAAAAGAUGAGCAUGCGUCCCAUUAGCUAGUUGGUAAGGUAACGGCUUACCAAGGCAACGAUGGGUAGGGGUCCUGAGAGGGAGAUCCCCCACACUGGUACUGAGACACGGACCAGACUCCUACGGGAGGCAGCAGUGAGGAAUAUUGGACAAUGGGCGCAAGCCUGAUCCAGCCAUGCCGCGUGCAGGAUGACGGUCCUAUGGAUUGUAAACUGCUUUUGUACGAGAAGAAACACUGCUUCGUGAAGCAGCUUGACGGUAUCGUAAGAAUAAGGAUCGGCUAACUCCGUGCCAGCAGCCGCGGUAAUACGGAGGAUCCAAGCGUUAUCCGGAAUCAUUGGGUUUAAAGGGUCCGUAGGCGGUUUAGUAAGUCAGUGGUGAAAGCCCAUCGCUCAACGGUGGAACGGCCAUUGAUACUGCUGAACUUGAAUUAUUAGGAAGUAACUAGAAUAUGUAGUGUAGCGGUGAAAUGCUUAGAGAUUACAUGGAAUACCAAUUGCGAAGGCAGGUUACUACUAAUUGAUUGACGCUGAUGGAC
This 682-nucleotide ribosomal RNA is filed under the name uncultured Flavobacteriales bacterium. RNAcentral describes it as "bacterial SSU rRNA". It matches the Rfam family "Bacterial small subunit ribosomal RNA", at positions 72 to 754 of the family's 1533-position model. Lineage: Bacteria; Pseudomonadati; Bacteroidota; Flavobacteriia; Flavobacteriales. The record is from RNAcentral.